Long non-coding RNA from Dromaius novaehollandiae (emu), 310 nucleotides. RefSeq lists it as uncharacterized. The record is from RefSeq and is a predicted model, not a curated record. NCBI's taxonomy places the organism in Eukaryota, Metazoa, Chordata, Aves, Casuariiformes, Dromaiidae. The transcript has 4 exons.
UCUAAUUCUGGAUCAGAAUCACUAUGUGGUUAAAACAUUAAGCCUGUUGUUUUAUACUUUUGUCUGUCUUCACACACCAAAUGGUUUAUGGACAAACCAGAAAGAAAAUACAAAGGCCAAAUGCUCUGAUACAGAAAGAUGACUGUCCAGAAAGAGGUGAUCUAGUGGGACAGAGGAGGAAGAUGCAAGGCUAGAACUGCUCCAGAUGACUUACUGCACAGGGUGAGGAAGGAGAAUGUGGAGAAAAAGAUCAAGAGGUAUACAUGUUUCCUUCUUAAGAGUAAGAUGUGUUUUUUUUAUUUUUGCAGAG